GACAGAGGGGGCAAGCGUUGCUCGGAAUUACUGGGCGUAAAGGGCGCGUAGGCGGGAUGGCAAGUCGGUCGUGAAAUCCCUCGGCUCAACCGAGGAACGUCGAUCGAUACUGCUGUUCUUGAGGAUUGCAGAGGAGACUGGAAUUCCCGGUGUAGCGGUGAAAUGUGUAGAGAUCGGGAGGAACACCGGUGGCGAAGGCGGGUCUCUGGCUCGACCCGUGACGCUGAGGCGCGAAAGCGUGGGGAGCGAACGGGG
Molecule: ribosomal RNA, 255 nt
Filed under: uncultured bacterium
Lineage: Bacteria
Description: partial 16S ribosomal RNA
Rfam family: Bacterial small subunit ribosomal RNA
Source: RNAcentral